Molecule: ribosomal RNA, 416 nt
Filed under: uncultured microorganism
Description: bacterial SSU rRNA
Rfam family: Archaeal small subunit ribosomal RNA
Source: RNAcentral
UGGCUGCAGUUAGGAAUAUUCUGCAAUGCGCGAAAGCGUGACAGAUUGAGCCAGAGUGCUUUUCAAAUUGAAAAGCUUUUGUGAAAUGCAAAAAGUUUUACGAAUAAGGACUGGGUAAGACUAGUGCCAGCCGCCGCGGUAAUACUAGCGGUCCAAGUCGCAGCCAUUUUUAUUAGGUCUAAAACAUCCGUAGCUUGCUUCGUAAGUUUCUUGUGAAAUUUUAUGUCUCAAACAUAGAGCGCGCAAGAAGUACUGCGGAGCUAGAGACUGGGAGACGUAAGAAGUACAUUAGGAGUAGCGGUUGAAUGUAUUGAUCCCUAAUGGACUAACAAUUAGCGAAGGCAUCUUACGAGAACAGUUCUGACAGUCAGGGAUGAAGGCUAGGGGCGCAAAACGGAUUAGAUACCCCAGUAGUC